This 3841-nucleotide long non-coding RNA is filed under the name Sus scrofa (pig). RNAcentral's name for it is "lncRNA (ENSSSCG00030009746.1)". Lineage: Eukaryota; Metazoa; Chordata; Mammalia; Artiodactyla; Suidae. The record is from RNAcentral.
CCAGGCUAGGGAUCUAAUCGGAGCUACAGCUCCCAGCCUAUGCCACAGCCACAGCCACGCCAUAUCUGAGCCUUGUCUGUAACCUAUACCACAGCUCAUGGCAACGCUGGAUCCUUAACCCACUGAGCAAGGCCAGGGGUCGAACCUGCAACCUUAUGGUUCCUAGUCGGAUUCGUUUCCACUGCCACAGCGGGAACUCCUUAAAUGUCUUCUGAAUUUUACAGUUGGUUGCCAAAAUGAACUUUAGUUUAUGGUCAGUUUCUGAUUAAUUCCUGCUAUUUGCAGUUUUAAAAAUACUUAUAUUUUAAACCGUGGUAGUUCUAAGUGUUGGUCAUGUUUAAACUAUAUCCUAUUCAGUAUAGAUAACUAAAGAUUAUUUUACUUAUGGAUUUUAAUUGUAGACCCCAAAAAAUCUUCCCACAGAAAGGAGAAUUUAGAAAAAUUUUAAUAGUGUUCCAUUGAUUUGUAUUUUAUGCAGAUUAUAAACUUCUCUAAGUAUCCACAAAUAAUACAAAUAGUUAUACUCAAAAUAUUUUGAGACGGAUUAUUUCAUAUGUAUAUAAUUAAGGUAAACAGAUCUUUAUGCAUGGUGUUUUUGUUGGUGAUAGGGAAGAUGAUAUGAAGAGGAUAAAGGGUACAUCAUGAUGGGUUCUGUUUUUACUUUGGUUGGUAACUCCAAAAUCAUGUCUCAGUCUCCCAUCAUUAACCCACACCUCAGCCCUGCAUUUCUAGCUGUCCAUUGGGCAUGCACCUGAGUGAUCCCCUGAAAACUAAAACUACUAUUUCUUUCUUUCUACCGACUUUUUGUUUUCCUCCUCAGAUUUUCUAGUCUCUUAAUAUUCUAGUCUCCUGGUCAUUUAGUGGAAAAUGGUUUGACCUUUUCUUAUCACCUAAGCUUAUUGUUUAAUCAUUUUUAGAGAGGGAGUUCCCUGGUGACUCAAUGGAUUAAGGAUCUGGUUUUGUCACUGAUGUGGCUUGGGUUUGAUCCCUGGCCUUGAAAUUUCCUCAUGCCGUGGGCAUGGCCAAAAAAUUUAAAAAAAAAUUUUUUUUUAAUUAAAAAGAAAAAUCUGAAAAGCAUCUUUAAUUUUCUGUGUGCACCAGGCUAUAAUGCCAUGUCCUUGACAGUGUGUUGGCAGUAUGAAUGACUAGAUGAAUUUUUAAAAAUUUUAGUUCUGUAUAGAUCAGUAACCUCAGUCUAAAUAUCUGGUGCCCCAUGAUGAAGCCACAUCUGUAGGUGGACACUUGAGGUCUUUUACAGUCUGACCAGUUUCUUUCUGCCUGCUUUCAUCUCGAUUCCUCCACUUGCUUUUAUGAACCCUGAUUAUCUCCAGCUAGCUGAAUCCUUCAAAAUCCAGGCCAAAUUCCAUCUCUAUCUUUACAUCUUCCUAGAACUGGAAAAUUCCAUUCUUUGAGCUCAUUGUUGGUUCCUAUGUGCAGUUCAUUUUGUAUCGCCUUUUGAGUUUGGGGGUAAGUUUUGCCUUGAGAUGACAUUUAAUUCUUUUAUUUGUUUUGAACAGUAGACAUCUGAUAUAUUUGUCCUGUAGUGCUGAUUCAGGUUGAGAGUUGCAGUUUCACAAUUUGUAAUGCGAACAAUUCUCAUUUCACCUCUUAAGAUAUUCCCAAGCUAAACUAUAAAUUAUAAAUAGGCAUGCCAUUAAGUUUAGCUUAAAACUCAGAUAUUCAGUAUCAAGAGAGUUACACUGAAGAUAACAAUUAAUAGUUCUGGCCUAAGACUCCCCUGAGGAGAAGCUGAUACCCCAGUUUAAGAACCAUGCUGCUAAAGUGUAGAAAUCAACUGAAGGCCACUGGUACCAUCAUUAAAAGUCAUAUUUUAAAGGAAAUUUAAUAAUAGGAAAAGCUUAUAAAUAUAAUACCUACUAAAAAUAUAGAACUCAAAACUGUAUAUAGUGUGAUCCUAACGAUUCUGAAAUAAACAUGUAAUAUUCUAUAUGCAUGGGAAAAGAUCAGAAAGUAUUAAACCAAAUGCUAGGAAUCAUUUCUAAAUGUGGUUGAAUUAUUUCUCUUUUUUGUUACAUACUUUUCAGAACUUCUUAAGCUCAUUACAACAGGCAUAUAUUACUGUUGUUUAUUAGGGGGAAGAAAACCCUAUGUCUACUAGAAACCAGCUCUUAUUCUACUUAGUCUUUUUUCAUGACUUCCAUAAUGUAUAAUGCUCCAAUGGAAGAUUGGAUAAAAAGGCAUCUUUCACAAGGAAGGGCAUUAUGUAAUGAUCUCUUCAUGAAAAUGUAGCUGAGUAUUGUGCACAAAAGCAAUGAACUCCUUAAGAGUGCUUUGUGCAACCAGUUCUUUACAUCUCUAGGACUCAGGGGCCGCCCUGGCAAUUCUCUAAGGUCAGCUAACCACAUUAUUAGAAGAGUAGUGGUUAGCAAGAUGGUAUCUUUCUUUGUUUUUAAGACAUUUAUUUAAUACGUGAUUCCUUUAGAGAGUUAUGUAGAGUAGCCUUGACAGCACUUUUAGCUCUCCCUGAAACAUGAAUCUCUUUCAUUUAAAAAUCCUUCUGUGAGCAGUUUCAGAGUUUGUCUUUUAAAAUACAAUUCUAAAGUGCUUUACCAGGAAGUCACUAGUGCUUUCCCUCCCCACCCAUGUUCCCAAGCCCUCGUUUCUUCAAACCAAUGAACAUUUUUAAAACUGCUUAGGUUUUCCUAAUUUUAAGUCUUCUGAGGUAGAAUUGGGAGGGGACCUUUGAGAUCACCAAGUCCCCACCUGUGCCGAGUAACUGUAUCAAGAGACUCAAGCUUGAAAAUGAAGUCACCACUGGGAAAUACUGCAGUGUAAGGUAGCAUUAUGUUUGCAGACCUUUUUUUAUGUUGACAUCUAUUACUCUUCCUUCUUCCUUGCUCUUUCAUGUAGAACAGUGGCAGCCUUUCUUAUAGAAGACUGUCCUCCCAUUUCUCCCUAAUCUUCUCUCCAAACCUAAUGCCUUCAACAUACUUUCCAGGGUUACCAUCCUCGUGGCCCUUCUCUGGACAAAUUGGCCUUGAAGGGUUGUGUCCUGUAGUCAAAGGUGCUGCUGUAGUACCUUUACUUGUUCUUAAUCUGAACCUCAUCAAUGCAAUGGCAAACACAUUGAUAAAAGUACUCCUACUACUAAUAAACCACUUAGUGAACACUAUUUACUAUGUGCUAGGACACCGUGCUAAAUACUUUAAAUAAAUAUCACUUAAUCUUAACAGUUUGGUUAAUUUUAACAGUUCCAGUAGAUUCUAAUUUUUAUUUCCAUGUCAAAGAUGAGAAAUAAAUGAAAUAAAUAAUUCAUCAGUGGUCAGUCAUCUGAUAAGUAGUGGAGCUAGGAAUUUGAAGCUAGAUCUCAUUCUGGUUCUGAGUUGUUGCACUUUGUUAAAAUUGAAAAAUUCAGUCAAACAGUAUUAGUAAUUUUGGGGGCAAGUGGGCAAUAAAAUAACCCAUAAGGCCACCUAACAUCUGUUUUUAUGCUCCCCCAAAGUUGCCUCAUGGUAUAUUUGACUCAUAUCAUAGUGUAUUAAAAUUCUUUUUCUGUCUCCCUCCUAUUCAAUAUCUUUGAUUUCUUAUUUAUCUUUCUUGAUAGUGCUUAUCAUGUAUAAGACAUCCCAGAACCUAAUAAUUUGUCAGUAAUUAGUGAAUAAACUUUUACAUAUGACUUGCCAGUCCUGGACUACAUGGGUACAUGUUUCAUGUAUCUACGAUCAGUGUAUAUACUGUUUUGCAUUCCUGCUUCUUGUAACAUCCUUGUGCAGGUUUUAUGUAGGCAUAAGUUUUCAACUUCUUUGGGUAAGUACCAGUGAGCAUGAUUGUUGGAUCAAAUAGUAAGCAUAUGUUUAAUUUUAUAAGAAAUUGCCAAACU